Molecule: ribosomal RNA, 496 nt
Filed under: uncultured bacterium
Lineage: Bacteria
Description: partial 16S ribosomal RNA
Rfam family: Bacterial small subunit ribosomal RNA
Source: RNAcentral
GAUGAACGCUGGCGGCGUGCCUAAUACAUGCAAGUCGAGCGAACAGACGAGGAGCUUGCUCCUCUGACGUUAGCGGCGGACGGGUGAGUAACACGUGGAUAACCUACCUAUAAGACUGGGAUAACCUCGGGAAACCGGAGCUAAUACCGGAUAAUAUAUUGAACCGCAUGGUUCAAUAGUGAAAGACGGUUUUGCUGUCACUUAUAGAUGGAUCCGCGCCGCAUUAGCUAGUUGGUAAGGUAACGGCUUACCAAGGCAACGAUGCGUAGCCGACCUGAGAGGGUGAUCGGCCACACUGGAACUGAGACACGGUCCAGACUCCUACGGGAGGCAGCAGUAGGGAAUCUUCCGCAAUGGGCGAAAGCCUGACGGAGCAACGCCGCGUGAGUGAUGAAGGUCUUCGGAUCGUAAAACUCUGUUAUUAGGGAAGAACAAAUGUGUAAGUAACUAUGCACGUCUUGACGGUACCUAAUCAGAAAGCCACGGCGAACUACGU